UUGAUUUGGCUAGGAUCAAUCUGGGAGGCUGUAAUGUGUGAGAGUAAUGGGAGGACGAAACGGAUCUGUGAGCUGGGAUAUUGGGAGAUCAACAUGGGACGGCUAGGAUCAAACUUAGAGCAUUAAUCGUUAAGCACUUAAAGGAUGACGUGGACAUGGGCACCGCUACAAACGCGAAGGAAAUUUGCAUUGAACUGAAUCAUGGAAGAAAGGAAUACAUGAUCUUGACGUUGUACCGCUAGGAUGGAAGCUUGAUCCCUAGAUACAGGAGGUGCAUGUGGUUCAGGUUUAGACAUCAUCCCAAUUGGUUUGACUCGACUUGCACACAUUAGACUCGACC
RNAcentral lists this long non-coding RNA (340 nucleotides) under Phoenix dactylifera (date palm). RNAcentral's name for it is "long non-coding RNA (PDAC_LNC017392)". The record is from RNAcentral. Lineage: Eukaryota; Viridiplantae; Streptophyta; Magnoliopsida; Arecales; Arecaceae.